AAUCUCCGCUCAGUGAGUGGCGCUGCGAAGCUGCUUCUGCCCGGGAAGGAGGAGAGGGGCCUGGAACCGCCGAGGGAACCACCAGUUCCGACGCCCUGGGGUUGUGCCCUCAGUCUCUUGCCUCAGCACCUGGGUAGGUUUCCGCCUACAUGUAACCAGUGACUUCAAAUAUUCUGUUUUAUCUAAGAAGUACAACGAAGGUCAUGAGAAGCCUGAGUAGGCCUGAACUACAGCUGCCUGGGCACCAUAGUGAAGGUUAUAGGAUAAGCCCAUGCCCAGACAAACCUAGAUAACGGACAUCUGGGUUACUUGGCAACAGUCAUGUGCAAUCCUGUCUUUGUCCUGCCUCUGUAUUGCUGCUUUUCACACCACUGUAAGCUUGCUUCAAGCUAGCCCACCACCUUCUGUGAAGUAUGUAUAAAAGUCAGAUGCUGUCUUUGUUCCGGGCCCAGUCUUUUGGACGUUGAGUCAGCUGGGCCUGAGUGCACUCAAUAAAGAUUCUAGUUUCAACCUGAGGUCUCUCUCGUCCUCCUGAAUCCUGCAACAUUUCCAGUAGAGACAGGAUUUCACCAUGUUGGCCAGACUGGCCUCAAACGCCUGACAUCAAGUGAUCUGCCCACCUCUACCUCUCAAAGUGCUGGGAUUACAUGCGUGAGCCACCAUGCUCUACCGUUUUCUUCCCUUUUUAAACAGAAUAAAACUCAUUAUGUCUUGCAAUGACCAUAUAGAUCUAUUGGUAGGCCCUCUUAUAACCUGUCAGCACCAUCCAGCCAAAGGCCACCAGGAACACACCUGUCAUGACAUGAGUUAGCUUUGAGGGAGAACGUUUUGCAUGCCACGGGGAACUGUGGGGCAAAUAAGUAAGAGGGUGUCAGGGAUGGUUUAUUACAGGAUUUGGGCAUGUGUUAGGUGGUUUGAGGAGUCCUUUCUCUGGGAUGCUCUCAGGAAGUGGGGGUAAUUCUAUGAUUGAGGAUCUUAACAAAUUUCACCAAGAAGGAGGGAAGAGUAGAGGAAGGCCAAAGCCGUAAUUGGCUAAAGUAGCAGCAGUCGAUCCUAUUAGCCAGGACAUGGGGUAUGGCCUGGCUGUGAAUCCCAGACCCACUUCUGGUUCUGCUUUUCUCUUUCCAAAAAUCCAAGACAUAUUGUGGGAUCUUAGCGGUCUUACUUCUUCUGCAUCUUGAAAUGAUUUGCUAUUUCAUCAUCCUGGGAAAUCUUCUGUAGUUAAUUCAUUGAUUCCCAAAAAUGACUUAAGAGUCUUCAAGAGGCCAGGCACGGUGGCUUAUGCCUUAAUCCCAGCACUUUGGGAGGCCGAGGCGGGCGGAUCAUGAGGUCAGGAGUUUGAGACCAGCCUGGCCAACAUAGUGAAACUGUGUCUCUACUAAAAAUACAAAAAUUAGCCGGGCAUGGUGGUGCAUGCCUAUAAUCCCAGCUACUCAGGAGGCUGAGGCAGGAGAAUCGCUUGAAUCUGAGAGGCGGAGGUUGCAGUGAGAGGAUUGUGCCACUGCACUGCAGCCUGGGUGACAGAUUGAGACUCUCUCAAAAAAAAAAAAAAAAAAAAAGAGGUGUAAGAAUUAAAGAGGAAAGAAACAUGAAAGGGGAUGGGCAGUGGGGAAGUGGAGUAACAUGUACCACAGAGUAACAGAGGGAGGGGUGGUAGAAGGUGAUUGGAGAGUGUGACCCUGGAAGUGGAUGGUGGAUGGCGUUAUGGCAUCAGCAAUGACAAGAUCUAGACUUAGACCAGGGAAGUGAGUGGCUGGGGUACGUAAGGCCUAGGUCAAGGAACUGGGGAACUGGGUGUCAACUGAUGACAGGAGUUAUGUUGGAAAGUGAGCCAGGAGCUAAAACCUUCAAGGAAUAAGUAAGUGUUGGCAUGAGUGUGACUGGCCACCAGGACAGAUGACAGCAAUAAAGGGAGGUAGUGGGCAGUAUGGGUACAAGGCACAAUGGAAUGAGGGGUGGGGAGAACCAACAGAGAAAGGAAAGCAAUCAAUGUCCUUAGUGGAGGAUAAAGCGAAAGAAGAAAGGAGGCUGGGAAUAGGGAGGACAGCAGGAAAAUGAGCAAGGUUUCAGGAAUCAGACACGGGAUAAGAGAUGAAGCUUCUUGUGCCUGACCCACACAGAGCAGAAAUGCAGAACUUCAGGGUCAUUCUACAGUGAGUGGCAGAUACAUGGAAGACAGCUGCAGCAUUAGUUCUUUGCACUCACUACCUGGGGGAUGUCACCUCUGUCCAAGUAUAAUGCCCAGGGGGUUCUCCUUGCCUGCUGCCUAAACAGAGCUGAUUCAUCAGAACAGGGGAAUUGCAAUAGAGAAAGAGUAAUUUGGCUGGGUGCAGUGGCUCACACCUGUAAUCCCAGCACUUUGGGAGGCCAAGGCAGGUGAAUCACCUAAGGUCAGGAGUUUGAGACCAACCUGGCCAACACAGUGAAACCCUGUCUGUACUAAAAAUACCAAAAAUUAGCCGGGCGUGGUGGCACGUGCCUAUAAUCCCAGCUAUUGGGGAGGCUGAGGCAGGAGAAUCGCUUGAACCUGAGAGGCGGAGGAUGCUGUGAGCCAAGAUCCUGCCAUUGCACUCCAGCCUGGGCAACGAAAGUGAAACUCCAUCUCAAAAAAGAAAGAGUAAUUCACGCAGGGCUGGCUGUGUGGGAGACCGGAGUUUUAUUAUUACCCAAAUCAGUCUACCCGAGCAUUUGGGGAGCAGACUUUUUAAGGACAACUUGGUGGGUAGGGGGAAGCCAGUGAGCCCAGGAGUGCUGAUUGGUCAGGGAUGAAAUCAUAGGGAGUUGAAGCUGUCUCCUUGUGCUGAUUAAGUUCCUGGGUGGGGACCACAAGAUCACAUGAGCCAGUUAAUCAGUCUGGGUGGUGCCAGCUGAUCCAUCAAGUGCAGGGUCUGCAAAAUAUCUCAAGCACUGAUCUUAGGAGCAGUUUAGGGAGGGUCAGAAUCUUGUAGCCUCCAGCUGCAUGACUCCUAAAGCAUAAUUUCUAAACUUUUUUUUUUUGAGACAGAGUCUCACUCUGUCGCCCAAGCUGGAGUGCAGUGGCAAGAUCCUGGCUCACUGCAACCUCCACGCCGCCUCCCAGGUUCAAGCGAUCCUCCCACCUCAGCUUCCCAAGUAGCUGGCAGUAUAGGCAUGUGCCACCAUAACCGGCUAAUUUUUGUAUUCUUUAGUAGAGAUGGGGUUUCACCACGUUGGCCAGGCUGGUCUUGAACUCCUGACCUCAGGUGAUCUACCUGCCGUGGCCUCCCAAAGUGCUGGGAUUACAGGGGUGAGCCACGAGGCCCAGCCCAUAAUUUCUAAUCUCGUGGCUAAUGUUAGUCCUCCAAAGGCAACCUAGUCCCCAGGCAAGAAGGAAGUCUGCCUUGGGAAAGGGCUGUUAACAUCUUUGUUUUAAACUAUAAAAUAAAAUAUAAACUAAGCUUCUCCCAAAGUUAGUUCAGGCUAUGCUCAGGAAUGAAUAAGGACAAUUUGGAGGUUAGAAGCAAGAUUGGGUCGGUUAAGUUAGAUCUCUUUCACUGUCUCAGUCAUAAUUUUGCAAAAGCGGUUUCACAAGCAGUCAAUACCAGGAGCCUCUGAAGACCACCAUAGCAGUCCUCAGUGCCAGGCAAAUCCACUAAAAUAGAAACACCAGGCUUUGCCAAGAAGGGAAAACAAAAAGAAAAACAAAACAACUUUAUCGCACAUUUCAUUAGAAUUUCAGGGACAGGCUGGGUGUGGUGGCUCACAACUGUAAUCCCAGCAAUUUGGGAGGCCCAGGUGGGUAGAUCACUUUGAGGCCAGGAGAUCAAGACCAGCCUGGCCAAUAUGUCGAAACCCAUCUCUACUAUAAAUACAAAACAUUAGCCAGACAUGGUGGCACGCACCUGUGAUCCUAGAUACUCCAGAGGCUGAGGCACAAGAAUCACUUGAACCUGGGAGGCAGAGGUUGCAGUGAGUUGAGAUUGCAUCACUGCACUCCAGCCUGGGUGAGAGAGAGAGACUCGAAUUUCCAUGGACAGGCAUUCAUGUUCAGGAGAAGGGGGGUCUGGGCACUGGAGUUGGAGGAAAGAGCCUCAGUAAAGGUACAGAAACGUUAAGCACAGGGCAAUCAGAAAAUGAGGGGACCGGUUCAUACAUCUAUGACCCAUCCAGCCACCUGGGAAGGUAGGAUCUGGGCCUUAGCCUGUCCCAGAGAAUGCAGUAAUGCCCUGUCCCAGAGAAUGCAGGCUCCACGUGGGCUCCUUCCUACUGUAAUUGCCCCCAUUACACCCACAUCCAUCCCCUCACAGACUGGUUUAUGUGCCAGACUCAGCCAGCGGGUGGAGCUUCUCCCGGGAAGCCACACCUCCACCUCCCCAACACGCAGCACCCCAGCCUCGCUCUGACAGGCUCUUCCUUACAUCAUGGCAGUUUUUCAUCAGGGAACCACUGUCUCCACAAGCCAAAUGCUGUUGUAGGCCAAUCAGACUCUGAAAUCCAUGCACCUUUGUUAGCAGGUCAUCGUGGAGGAUGCACCCAUCGAAGGUGGCCUUCCACCCCCGUCCUAUAAAAAGAAGGCCACUUCAGCAAAUAGAAUAAAGAGUCUGACAAUGUCUUUUUUUUUUUUUUUUUUUUUUUAACUUUCUUGUUAUGGACCAAUCAGUAACCAUGAUCACGACCACAUUUGAGAAUCAGGGCUCUUUGCAGCUGGGGCAAUACUUCUGGAUCGGGAGCAACUUAUCAUGGAGGACCUGGUAUUAGAGGACACGUUGACAACAUAGAAUAAUACAGAUAAACUCCUACUUCUAGAAACCAAGAGGAGCAACAAAGCCAAAAUAUAUUAGAGGAAUUUGAAGAGGAAGAACUAUAAAGUCAGGAGGGGGAAAAUUGCCAGAAACAAUGGCUAACCAGUUGCCUCAGCAUCAUAUAUGGAGCAGCCCACCUUUUCAUCAGUCUGAGAUGCCACUUUUAUCAUAUAAUAAAGGCCUCAUAUAUACUUAGGUCUAUUUCUGAAACUUUCUUUUAAACAAAAGAGCCUUCUGGUAUCAUGGCUGUUUUUUAAACUUUUGAUUGAUUGUGUACCUACCUUUGUAUACCUACCUUUGUGUACCUGUGAACGUGGCCUUGUCCGUGUGGUUAGCAAGGAGCAUGUGUUCCAUUCCUCCUCUGGCUGCCCUUCAACACCAUCCACUGCUCACAAUGCUGCCAGGGAAGCCUGGGCACCUCCAGAGGUGCCAACCUGACCAUGCCAAGGCUGCCAACUCCAGGUGCUUCUAAGGUUUUCAGUCCUUGGGCACCAGGAGGCUGCCAGGUUUCCUGCCAGCUGAGGAGAGCAGCCUAUUCAACUAUUCAACCUAUGCAACUCCAGGUCCUGCUAUUUCUGUUUUUCUUGGCCCUGAUUGCACUUCAGUUUUCGCCCUGUCUUCUGGAAUGGCUCCUUCAAAUUCCCCUUUUCAUCACAUCAGUUUUCACAGGUAGUUGAAGAGAUC
Molecule: long non-coding RNA, 5444 nt
Filed under: Homo sapiens (human)
Lineage: Eukaryota; Metazoa; Chordata; Mammalia; Primates; Hominidae
Description: HSALNT0389931
Source: RNAcentral